Long non-coding RNA from Capsicum annuum, 1604 nucleotides. RefSeq lists it as uncharacterized. NCBI's taxonomy places the organism in Eukaryota, Viridiplantae, Streptophyta, Magnoliopsida, Solanales, Solanaceae. The record is from RefSeq and is a predicted model, not a curated record. The transcript is spliced from 3 exons.
UUGGUCAUCGAUCUGGUCUGUGGCCGCAUAUGGAUGCUUUGUCUGCUUAAGCAACAUCGUGUAAGAAGCCUAUGGUUUGCGUAAGUGGUACCCAACCUUGUUGACCGAUUGACUAAACGAUAGGUAAGUCGCUUAAGCGACUGCCGUGUAAGCAACAGGAUUAUCGCUUAAGAGACACUUGACACUAUUUAAUUCUUUUUCUUCACUCGAUUUUCUAUCACUUCUUCCACCCCUUUUACACCAAAUUGGGAGCUUAAAGAGAGGAAAAAAAGUGAUAAAUCAUCCAUAUAAGUUAAGGAUCAUAGAAUAAAGAAAGACGAUUUGUGGAUGAUUCAAGGAUUUUAAUUCGGCAUUGAGGGACCUGCAACCGCUACCCUUUGGGUGCGACAUACGGUAAAUCUGCUCCUGUGCAAUAGCUCACAAAUAACACAGAAGAGGUAAACCGGACUAGACAAGGCCCAGGCGACGAGCUCAACUCAAAAGGCAAACCCCCUGGUGUCACAAGUAAGGCGUUUCGAACUUGAGACCUCCAUUAUGCAAAUACCGAGCCAAACCAUCUGUCACCCCAAAGGGUGACUUUACUUUUCUACUGAUCCUUUUAGAUAAUUAAGACGAAAGUUCCAAAUACAUUUAAAAGAAAAGGGAUAGACAAAAGCACAACUUCAAUCUAAUUUACUUCUCCAAUCCCAAGUCCCAACAUAGGAAUUUGUAACUAUUUAUCACUUUUUAAAAAAAAAAAAAACUUGCAACAUUAACAAAACAUCCCGUGUACUCCCACAAAGUGGGGCCUGAGGAGGAUAGAGUGUGCGCAAAUCUUACCUCUGCCUCUAGAGAUAUUGUUUCCAAGACUAUCGACUCAAGAAAAAGUCUAAAGUGAUAAUGGAAGUACAAGAAUCAACAGACAAUAACAAAAAUAACAGAUAGUAACAGAGUGGAAACUACCAUAAAAUAAUACAAUAAUCGAGGUACAAGAAAAACAGAUAGUAACGGAAAUCAAAGGAUAAGAAACUACAGAAGCAAUACUACAACUACUAAAAAAAAAACCUUAACAACAAGAAAUGAAACCCAAUUGCAGUGCAUAAUUAAGUAAAAGAACUGAUCAAAAUACGAAAGAGUUAAAAGACUAAACCUUGAUAAAACAAAGAAAAGAUCCAAUCAAUGAACCCCACACAGCAAGAAUAGCAAAAAACCUACAGCUAUAAAUAACAUGCAAAAAAACAACCCAAAAAAAUCAAACAAAUACCAACAGUUAAAAAAGGAAUUUCUAAUAAAAAAGCAAAAAUUUUCUAUCACCUUUUCUACAUUUUUCUCCACCCCUUCUACUUUUUCUUUAUGAAUAUGAAAAACACUUGUGUUAGAAUCCGAUUGAAUAACAGGUGAUGGAGCAUGUACUGGAGAAUGUGUACGGCGAACAGUGGAUAAAGAAACUGGAAAUUCAAAACCAGAAAACUGUAACAUAAGGGCCAUUUCACUGAUUUUGAAUUCUUGAAAGUAAAUAUUGGACCUUUAAGAUUUGUAGAAGUACAAAAAUACGUAAGAGCAAUAUAUUAUGCAUGACAAAAAGUUCCUAAGUAAAUAUACUACUAUAGUGUAUGUACAUCAAA